RNAcentral lists this non-coding RNA (21 nucleotides) under Caenorhabditis elegans. The record is from RNAcentral. Lineage: Eukaryota; Metazoa; Nematoda; Chromadorea; Rhabditida; Rhabditidae.
UGCGCAGAACCAAAGAUCAUA